This 390-nucleotide ribosomal RNA is filed under the name Limosilactobacillus oris. RNAcentral describes it as "bacterial SSU rRNA". It matches the Rfam family "Bacterial small subunit ribosomal RNA", at positions 194 to 571 of the family's 1533-position model. Lineage: Bacteria; Bacillati; Bacillota; Bacilli; Lactobacillales; Lactobacillaceae. The record is from RNAcentral.
UUUCCAAUAAAAGAUGGUUUCGGCUAUCACUUUGGGAUGGGCCCGCGGUGCAUUAGCUAGUUGGUAAGGUAACGGCUUACCAAGGCGAUGAUGCAUAGCCGAGUUGAGAGACUGAUCGGCCACAAUGGAACUGAGACACGGUCCAUACUCCUACGGGAGGCAGCAGUAGGGAAUCUUCCACAAUGGGCGCAAGCCUGAUGGAGCAACACCGCGUGAGUGAAGAAGGGUUUCGGCUCGUAAAACUCUGUUGUUGGAGAAGAACGUGCGUAAGAGUAACUGUUUACGCAGUGACGGUAUCCAACCAGAAAGUCACGGCUAACUACGUGCCAGCAGCCGCGGUAAUACGUAGGUGGCAAGCGUUAUCCGGAUUUAUUGGGCGUAAAGCGAGCG